GAGAAGUGAGCGGAGAUGCUGGAUGCUGAAAAUGGAUGGAUAUAUACCCUCGGAAUGGUCGACAUCUCUUGAUGUUACUGUUAUUCAAUACGUUUGUGUGGUCUUACACGACGUUCGAUGGGGAUUACUUCAGUACCUCAAACACACUGAUCUCGCUCCUGAUGAACAUCUCUGCAGCAGAUGGGAAAGCCGAGCCCUGUACAACGAGUGGUCAAAGCCAGGAUUUCUGAUUGCCUCUACCCAGGAAAAUGACCACAUUAACCGUCUAAUAAGUAUACAAUCUGCAUAGGGCUGACUUCAGGGCUGGGAUUUGACUGGAGGAAAAUUACGUGUGGCCCUUUCGCUGGGCGGAUCGCUUGGGGCUGUUCGACAAACUUGUUUGUGGCUACCAUAC
Molecule: long non-coding RNA, 394 nt
Organism: Liolophura sinensis
Lineage: Eukaryota; Metazoa; Mollusca; Polyplacophora; Chitonida; Chitonidae
Exons: 3
Source: RefSeq, a predicted model, not a curated record